Molecule: ribosomal RNA, 429 nt
Filed under: uncultured bacterium
Lineage: Bacteria
Description: bacterial SSU rRNA
Rfam family: Bacterial small subunit ribosomal RNA
Source: RNAcentral
UCGAGAAUCUUUCGCAAUGGGCGCAAGCCUGACGAAGCGACGCCGUGUGAGCGAAGAAGGCCUUCGGGUUGUAAAGCUCUUUCGCUAGGGAACAAGAAAGGAGCGCUAAUAACGCUUCAAUUUGAUGGUACUUGGUAAAGAAGCACCGGCUAACUCCGUGCCAGCAGCUGCGGUAAUACGGAGGGUGCAAGCAUUGAUCGGAAUUACUGGGCGUAAAGGGUGCGUAGGCGGACUGGCAAGUCAGAUGUGAAAUUCCGUGGCUCAACUGCGGAACUGCAUUUGAAACUGCCAGACUAGAGCAUAAUUAGGGAAAACGGAAUUCCACGUGUAGCGGUGAAAUGCGUAGAUAUGUGGAAGAACACCGGUGGUGAAGACGGUUUUCUGGGUUAUUGCUGACGCUGAGGCACGAAAGCUAGGGGAGCAAACAGG